UACGUAGGUGGCAAGCGUUGUCCGGAUUUACUGGGCGUAAAGAGCGCGCAGGCGGUCGUUCAAGUCGCGUGUGAAAGCCCCCGGCUCAACUGGGGAGGGUCACGCGAUACUGAUCGACUCGAAGGCAGGAGAGGGUAGUGGAAUUCCCGGUGUAGUGGUGAAAUGCGUAGAUAUCGGGAGGAACACCAGUGGCGAAGGCGAUCUUCUGGACGGAUACUGACGCUGAGGCGCGAAAGCUAGGGGAGCAAACGGG
RNAcentral lists this ribosomal RNA (253 nucleotides) under uncultured bacterium. RNAcentral's name for it is "partial 16S ribosomal RNA". It matches the Rfam family "Bacterial small subunit ribosomal RNA", at positions 524 to 776 of the family's 1533-position model. The record is from RNAcentral.